Anopheles coluzzii is the source of this 1214-nucleotide long non-coding RNA. RefSeq lists it as uncharacterized. The record is from RefSeq and is a predicted model, not a curated record. The transcript has 4 exons. Lineage: Eukaryota; Metazoa; Arthropoda; Insecta; Diptera; Culicidae.
UGAAAAACAAACUUUACUACCUCUGAUCUAAAGAAACAUCUGUUCUGUACGACUCUUGUACAGUCCAUUCUCUAAUAAAUGAAAGGCAAACUUAGUUCUUUCGUUUUUCGCAAAUGGACUAGAGUAAAAGACAUUAUUCUAUCCUAAUUUAGAGGUUUCUUGUUUCAUACCUUUUAAAUUGUGGAAAAUAAUGUGACAUUUCCUCUGCAUUGAUUAAUAGCACUGAGUUACUAUGUAUUUGUUUCAUAAAUGUUCUAAUAGUUCUCUUCCGCGUUAUUUUUUAUCUAUGUUUCAGAUUGGUUUAAAUAAAUCACUGCAUUCAGAUUCGCUGUAUUCAGAUAUUGUACAAAUGAAAUGUCAAAUGCUGGGAUGAAGGUACCAUAACUGCAACGGAAGUUGCGAUCGUGAUUGAUCGUGUAUCGGUUAUUGGAAAUCAUCUGCUUCAUUUUUAAAGGGUCAAACGCGCAGGGUUCCGAAAGGCAAAAGGGGAGCAUCUAACAACAAGUGUUUGUGAAAGAUAUGAAUGUGUCGUGAUGGUGUGGUAAUAGUGACAGUUCGAAGAACAGUUUCUAAAUGUGAAGGUACUAUCAGGUAAGUAAUGUGUUGUAAUUUGUUCUCUUUGCUCAACUCAUCUGAUUCAGUUAUCGCACAUGCUGCUGAACUCUCUGUGACGUGUGAAGUGAGAAUGUUUCACCGGCAUUAGGUUACAGGGAGUUUCGCAAGCAUGCACACAGUAUCAGAUCUGUUGACCAACACGGUCUUAAAUAUGUAUGAUGAAAAAAGUCAAUAAAAUAUUUUACCUCAAAGAAAUCAUUAAAUUAUGGUUGUGUGAAUCGACUAAGUCGUCCGAAAUGUAUAUUUUUUCUUCAUUCGUUUCUUCUCCUUGAUUUAACCAAUUUCGAAACUCUUGUAACUACAAACUCUACUACACUAUAUUAAUCUACUAUAAAACACAGAACGAUGAUCAUGCAUUUGUCAUCAUUUUUAAGUAGAACACACGAUCCGCCCUUCACCGUUCGUUUAGAUGCGCCCAAGAGCGAGACUUCCUUUCGAUUCGAUUUAUUUUUGUACUAUGAAGUAGGUAUAAAAGACAAUAGAAAAAGAGCUGUAUGUGUUGUUGACGUUGUUGUGUUGUAGCUAUUUUGCUAGGGCUUGCUUUUUUAAAUGUAGGCGAACACUAGCUGAAGAAUGGUCCGGGUCACGGGGGGGGGGGG